Molecule: long non-coding RNA, 2962 nt
Filed under: Haliotis rufescens (red abalone)
Lineage: Eukaryota; Metazoa; Mollusca; Gastropoda; Lepetellida; Haliotidae
Description: uncharacterized LOC125384227
Source: RNAcentral
GUGUGGAAGACAGGUGUGUUUAUGUUACUGAUGUCACACACUCGGCCUUGUGUGACAGGCUUGUGUGUGUAUGUUACUGAUGUCACACACUGGGCUUUGUGUGACGGACAGGUGUGUGUAUGUUACUGAUGUCACAUACUGGGCCUUGUGUGACAGACAGUUGUGGGUAUGUUACUGAUGUCACACACUGGGCCUUGUGUGACAGACAGGUGUGGGUAUGUUACUGAUGUCACACACUCGGCCUUGUGUGACAGGCAUGUGUGUGUAUGUUACUGACGUCACACACUGGGCUUUGUGUGACGGACAGGUGUGUGUAUGUUACUGAUGUCACAUACUGGGCCUUGUGUGACAGACAGUUGUGGGUAUGUUACUGAUGUCACACACUGGGCCUUGUGUGACAGACAGGUGUGGGUAUGUUACUGAUGUCACACACUGGGCCUUGUGUAACAGACAGGUGUGGGUAUAUUACUGAUGUCACACACUCGGCCUUGUGUGACAGGCAGGUGUGGGUAUGUUGCUGAUGUCACACACUGGGCCUUGUGUGACAUACGGGUGUGUGUAUGUUACUGAUGUCACACACUGGGCUUUGUGUGACAGACAGGUGUGGGUAUGUUACUGAUGUCACACACUCGGCCUUGUGUGACAUACGGGUGUGUGUAUGUUACUGAUGUCACAUACUGGGCUUUGUGUGGAAGACAGGUGUGUUUAUGUUACUGAUGUCACACACUCGGCCUUGUGUGACAGGCAUGUGUGUGUAUGUUACUGACGUCACACACUGGGCUUUGUGUGACGGACAGGUGUGUGUAUGUUACGGAUGUCACAUACUGGGCCUUGUGUGACAGACAGUUGUGGGUAUGUUACUGAUGUCACACACUGGGCCUUGUGUGACAGACAGGUGUGGGUAUGUUACUGAUGUCACACACUCGGCCUUGUGUGACAGGCAUGUGUGUGUAUGUUACUGACGUCACACACUGGGCUUUGUGUGACGGACAGGUGUGUGUAUGUUACUGAUGUCACACACUGGGCCUUGUGUGACAGACAGUUGUGGGUAUGUUACUGAUGUCACACACUGGGCCUUGUGUGACAGACAGGUGUGGGUAUGUUGCUGAUGUCACACACUCGGCCUUGUGUGACAGGCAGGUGUGGGUAUGUUACUGAUGUCACACACUGGGCCUUGUGUGACAUGCAGGUGUGUGUAUGUUACUGAUGUCACACACUGGGCCUUGUGUGACAGACAGGUGUGGGUAUGUUACUGAUGUCACACACUCGGCCUUGUGUGACAGACAUGUGUGUGCUGGAUACUGACGUCACACACUGGGCCUUGUGUGACAGACAGGUAUGUGUUGAUUACUAAUGUCACACACUGGGCUUUGUCUGACAGGCAUGUGUGUGUUGGUUACUGACGUCACACACUGAGCCUUGUGUGACAGACAGGUAUGUGUUGAUUACUAAUGUCACACACUGGGCUUUGUCUGACAGGCAUGUGUGUGUUGGUUACUGACGUCACACACUGAGCCUUGUGUGACAGACAGGUAUGUGUUGAUUACUAAUGUCACACACUGGGCUUUGUGUGACAGACAGGUGUACGUUGGUUACUAACGCCACACUCUGGGCUUCAUGUGAUAGACAGAUAUGUGUUAGUUAUUGAUGUCACACUGGGAUUUGUGUGAUAGACAGGUGUGUGUUGGUUAUUGAUGUCACACUGGGAUUUGCGUGAUAGACAGGUGUGUGUUGGUUAUUGAUGUCACACUGGGAUUUGUGUGAUAGUCAGGUGUGUGUUGGUUAUUGAUGUCACACUGGGAUUUGUGUGAUAGACAGGUGUGUGUUGGUUAUUGAUGUCACACUCUGACUUUCAAUACAGAUAGGUGUGUUUUGGUUACUGAUGGUGGAGUAAAUUAGCUAAUACAUUUACACACUCAUUAGGGUCAAUAUUUGUUCUAUACACAUGUAGAUGUACCAAGGUAUGUCAUUUUCACUGUAAAUACUGUAGUCGAACAACCAAAACAAAACACAUAUUUCACUGAAACAAUGUUUGAAGUAUAAGGAACUGAUUGUUUAACAUUUGUAAAUGUAUCAUGAAGUUUAUGAAGGUAGAAUGUACCCUGUUGUAUGCAGCAAAACAUAAAUGUAUUUUCAUGUGUGUGUUUUUUUCCUGUUUUUCUAUAACAUGUGACCAACGAUUGGAAACAAAUUAAAUAACACUGAAAACAAAUGCAAUAAUGUGUAUAUGAUCCUAGAAUUUGCGUGACAGGGAAUUUCUCUCAGGAUUCUGAUCAGAUUUAUUGAUAUGGCUUUCAUGGAAGCAGUCGAAAAUGCCAUUUUUAACAUAUCUGAAUUUUAUGAGAUUGGGCGUAAUUUGUUAUGUUACAUUUGUAACAUACUUGGCAAAAUACUUUGUUUGUAUUAGUAUUAGUUUUUUAAUAUGUAAGUUUAUCCCUCUACCCAGACAAGUAUCAACUCACAACUGGAGUUCAUACAUGAAUAUAUGGUUAGAUAACCAUUGUGUAGAAACUUAUGUUUUUUUUGCUUUUGCUUGCUUGUAUUUGAAUUCGGAAUUUUGUAAAUAUAUACAGUAUUAGAAAUAAUCCAGACUCAUUCAGGUUGUCUAGAGAGCGGCAAUUGUUUUCUUAGGCUCAACCACGUGAUACAUCCUGUACAUCCAACAGGUUAGUUUCCACAGUGUUAAACAUUUUCCCCAUUCUCAGAUCUGUGUGACAAAGCAAACAGGCCUAAGUUCCUAUUUAACCACCCCAAUAAGAGGGAAUGAUAUAAUUACACCAGUGCUUAUGACUUCCUGAUUAAGGUAGCUGGAGACAUGGCUGUUUCAUCUUUUUAGUUGUACUGUAGUGCUGUUUUCACUAAAUGGAAGUGAUGUAAUUACACCAGUGCUUAUGACUUUCUUAUUAAAGUAGCUAGAGGCAUGUAUGUUUCAAUUUUCUAGUUGCACUGUAUUCUUGUUUUC